This 796-nucleotide ribosomal RNA is filed under the name uncultured Glomeromycotina. RNAcentral's name for it is "SSU rRNA". It matches the Rfam family "Eukaryotic small subunit ribosomal RNA", at positions 316 to 1125 of the family's 1831-position model. The record is from RNAcentral. Lineage: Eukaryota; Fungi; Glomeromycota.
AUCAACUUUCGAUGGUAGGAUAGAGGCCUACCAUGGUGGUAACGGGUAACGGGGUGUUAGGGCACGACACCGGAGAGGGAGCCUGAGAAACGGCUACCACAUCCAAGGAUGGCAGCAGGCGCGCAAAUUACCCAAUCCCGACACGGGGAGGUAGUGACAAUAAAUAACAAUACGGGGUCCUUUCGGGUUUCGUAAUUGGAAUGAGUMCAAUUUAAAUCUYUUAACGAGGAACAAUUGGAGGGCAAGUCUGGUGCCAGCAGCCGCGGUAAUUCCAGCUCCAAUAGCGUAUAUUAAAGUUGUUGCAGUUAAAAAGCUCGUAGUUGAAUUUCGGGAUUAGUACGUUGGUCGUGCCUYCGGUACGUACUGGUGUUACUGAUUCCUACCUUCUGACGAACCAUCAUGUCAUUAAUUUGGUGUGAUGGGGAAUCAGGACUGYUACUUYGAAAAAAUUAGAGUGUUUAAAGCAGGCUCGCGCUUGAAUACAUUAGCAUGGAAUAAUGAAAUAGGACGUUGACCCUAUUUUGUUGGUUUCUAGGAUUGACGUAAUGAUUAAUAGGGAUAGUUGGGGGCAUUAGUAUUCAAUUGUCAGAGGUGAAAUUCUUGGAUUUAUUGAAGACUAACUACUGCGAAAGCAUUUGCCAAGGAUGUUUUCAUUAAUCAAGAACGAAAGUUAGGGGAUCGAAGACGAUCAGAUACCGUCGUAGUCUUAACCAUAAACUAUGCCGACUAGGGAUCGGAUGAUGUUAUUUUUAAUGACUCAUUCGGCGCCUUACGGGAAACCAAAGUGUUUGGGUUC